Long non-coding RNA from Neltuma alba, 200 nucleotides. RefSeq lists it as uncharacterized. The transcript is spliced from 3 exons. The record is from RefSeq and is a predicted model, not a curated record. NCBI's taxonomy places the organism in Eukaryota, Viridiplantae, Streptophyta, Magnoliopsida, Fabales, Fabaceae.
GGAAAUAACUUCUCGGGGGCACUACCUGAAAGUAUUGGUAAUAUGAAAAACCUAGAAACUAUAAGCUUGAAUGAUAAUCUAAUGGAAGGGACUCUUCCUUCUAGUCUCGGACAAUUGACGCAGCUAUGCAAAUUGGAUCUUUCUGGAAAUAACUUCUUGGGGGCAAUACCCGAAAGUUUUGGUGAUAUGAAAAAACUAGA